This 453-nucleotide ribosomal RNA is filed under the name uncultured bacterium. RNAcentral describes it as "partial 16S ribosomal RNA". It matches the Rfam family "Bacterial small subunit ribosomal RNA", at positions 28 to 507 of the family's 1533-position model. The record is from RNAcentral.
GAUGAACGCUGACAGAAUGCUUAACACAUGCAAGUCAACUUGAACUUCGGUUUGGGUGGCGGACGGGUGAGUAACGCGUAAAGAACUUGCCUCACAGCUAGGGACAACAUUUGGAAACGAAUGCUAAUACCUGAUAUUAUGAUUAUAUGGCAUCGUAUAAUUAUGAAAGCUAUAUGCGCUGUGAGAGAGCUUUGCGUCCCAUUAGCUAGUUGGAGAGGUAACAGCUCACCAAGGCGAUGAUGGGUAGCCGGCCUGAGAGGGUGAUCGGCCACAAGGGGACUGAGACACGGCCCUUACUCCUCCUGGAGGCAGCAGUGGGGAAUAUUGGACAAUGGACCGAGAGUCUGAUCCAGCAAUCCUGUGUGAACGAUGAAGUUUUUCGGAAUGUAAAGUGCUUUCAGUUGGGAAGAAAAAAUGACGGUACCAACACAAGAAGUGACGGCUAACUACGUG